Penaeus vannamei (Pacific white shrimp) is the source of this 395-nucleotide non-coding RNA. NCBI's taxonomy places the organism in Eukaryota, Metazoa, Arthropoda, Malacostraca, Decapoda, Penaeidae. The record is from RefSeq and is a predicted model, not a curated record.
GGACGAAAGCGAACGAUAGUUGUUGCAUCCCCUACGAGAGUCUAGUCUGUGACGUCAGAGUAAACAAGAUGGUGGACACAAGAGCGUGCCAGAAACCUGUCUCCAGGUUCUGAGUGGUCCAAUUUUGAUCAGUUGACCCAAAUGCAUAUCAAAAAAAUGCCUGAACACUCGAACACUUUUCGAGGGAUCCGUUCCUCUAAGUUCCGGCACGUAUUUGGGAGAGGAAGUAGGAAGGAAAACUGUUACGAGAAUGUGCUCAUCACGCAAAAGACCCACGACACAGCAGCCUGUGCUGUCAACCCGAAAUUUGUGGCCAUUGUUGUGGAAGUUGCAGGGGGUGGUGCCUUCUUGGUUUUACCACUAGACAAGGUGAGUCGAAAGGCCAGUCUGCAAAU